This 362-nucleotide unclassified non-coding RNA is filed under the name uncultured fungus. RNAcentral's name for it is "partial contains 5.8S ribosomal RNA, internal transcribed spacer 2, and large subunit ribosomal RNA". The record is from RNAcentral. Lineage: Eukaryota; Fungi.
AACGCAAAUUGCGCUCGAGGCCUCGGCCGAGAGCAUGCCUGCCUCAGUGUCGGUUUCACCCUCGCCACCCCUUUCUCUGUCUCCGGACAUGAGAGAGGGGUGCGGAUCUGGCCGUCCCGGUCUUUCUGAUCGGGUCUGCUGAAGCGCAGAGGCUUGAGCGGGAUUCCCUUCCAAUGUGGGAACAACAGACCGGUAGGUGAGCCCUUCUCCUCGAGAAGGAUCGCAUGCCGCUGCUGGACCCAGGGACCCGCUGGACGCCCAGCAGGAGACGGUGUGAUGGUGGUUCCCAACAAGGAUCCAUCAAAACCCCGAUUACUCAACCAUUCGACCUGAGUUCAGGCAAGGGCACCCGCUGAACUUAA